AUGGCCAACGCAGCGUUUUCGCAUUUUGAUGGCCUGGUGGGCACCGCUGUGGACCGGGCGCACACGCUGGACCUCUCCCAGCUCAUUGAGCCCGGCGACCUAGCAUGCCUAGACGCGCCCUUCAGCCAGGAGGAGAUUUGGGAGGCGGUCAAACGCAUGCCGGCGCGCAAAGCGCCUAGACCGGAUGGCUUCACCGCGGAGUUUCUGCGCGCCUGCUGGAGCAUCAUCCGCCAUGACAUAUGGGACGUUUUUGAACUGCUUUACACGCUGCGCGGCCGCGGGUUCAGCAAGCUUAACCAAGCGCUGCUGACCCUGUUGCCUAAGCGCGCGGACGCCCACACGCUCGGUGACUACCGGCCGAUCUGCCUGAUCCACAUUGUGGCCAAGAUCUUCUCGAAGGUCCUGUCAUUGCGCCUCGCUCCCAAGCUUGAUACCCUUGUAAGCCGCAACCAAAACGCAUUCAUUGCCGGGCGCAGCCUCCAUGAUAACUUCGUCCUAGUCCGGCAAUCCCUCAAGAUGCUGCACCAACUUGGCGCACCCAGGAUCAUGCUCAAGCUUGACCUCACACGCGCCUUCGACUCCAUCUCGUAG
This 591-nucleotide ribosomal RNA is filed under the name Triticum aestivum (bread wheat). RNAcentral describes it as "partial small subunit ribosomal RNA". The record is from RNAcentral. Lineage: Eukaryota; Viridiplantae; Streptophyta; Magnoliopsida; Poales; Poaceae.